GACAGAAUGAGCAAAAAUAUACAUACAUAUUGGUGUUAUCGCUUCCUGUCACAUGACUAGUGCAAACGGCAAGGUGAAAAUAAGGCCCUUAUCGUGUUUCCCCAGUACUUGAUAAAAUGGCAUAACUGCUUCCAAACUCAAGACAUGAAAGGCUGCGCUUGAAAGAGCUCUGCAAUUAAGAAGAUUUGGUUCAAAGCAAAAGCCCAUUGGUUGAUGUUUUACACUGAUGUGAUAAUGUUUACACAGAUGUGCUUUGAAAGCUCGAUUAUGAAGGAUUUUUUGGGUCCAGCCACAUGACAGGCUCCUGUUAUUUGAAAGGUAAACUUAUAUAACAUCUAUCUGCAACAGCUUUUCCAACAAGUCUGCCAGCUCUCCCUCUCGCUCCCUGCUUUGGAAGUGAUUUAUCUGAUCAUUGUAUUUAACAUUAUUUUCGUUUUGAGGUUUUAAAUCCUUCCACAAUAAAUCACUUGCUUUCAACAA
Lacerta agilis (Sand lizard) is the source of this 480-nucleotide long non-coding RNA. RefSeq lists it as uncharacterized. The transcript is spliced from 2 exons. NCBI's taxonomy places the organism in Eukaryota, Metazoa, Chordata, Lepidosauria, Squamata, Lacertidae. The record is from RefSeq and is a predicted model, not a curated record.